RNAcentral lists this transfer RNA (72 nucleotides) under Equus asinus (donkey). It matches the Rfam family "tRNA". Rfam says of the family: Transfer RNA (tRNA) molecules are approximately 80 nucleotides in length. Their secondary structure includes four short double-helical elements and three loops (D, anti-codon, and T loops). The record is from Rfam by way of RNAcentral. Lineage: Eukaryota; Metazoa; Chordata; Mammalia; Perissodactyla; Equidae. RNAcentral also lists the same sequence under 1 other name.
GCCCUGGUGGUCUAGUGGUUAAGAUUCAGCACUCUCAUGGCUGUGUCCAGGGUUCAUUUCCCAGUUGGGGAA